This 303-nucleotide ribosomal RNA is filed under the name uncultured beta proteobacterium. Its description in RNAcentral is "bacterial SSU rRNA". It matches the Rfam family "Bacterial small subunit ribosomal RNA", at positions 172 to 477 of the family's 1533-position model. The record is from RNAcentral. Lineage: Bacteria; Pseudomonadati; Pseudomonadota; Betaproteobacteria.
CAUAUUCUCUAAGGAGGAAAGCAGGGGAUCGCAAGACCUUGUGCUUUUGGAGCGGCCGAUGCCUGAUUAGCUAGUUGGUGGGGUAAAGGCCUACCAAGGCUUCGAUCAGUAGUUGGUCUGAGAGGACGACCAGCCACACUGGGACUGAGACACGGCCCAKAYUCCUACGGGAGGCAGCAGUGGGGAAUUUUGGACAAUGGGCGAAAGCCUGAUCCAGCAAUGCCGCGUGAGUGAAGAAGGCCUUCGGGUUGUAAAGCUCUUUCAGUCGAGAAGAAAAGGUUGUGACAAAUAAUCACAACUUAU